This 782-nucleotide long non-coding RNA is filed under the name Homo sapiens (human). RNAcentral describes it as "non-protein coding lnc-GDA-5:1". Lineage: Eukaryota; Metazoa; Chordata; Mammalia; Primates; Hominidae. The record is from RNAcentral.
GAGUUAUGGGUCUUCACGCAGCCAGCAUGCUGUGUUUUGGGCUCUGCCUCUUGUAAUUUUUAGAAAUUAAUUAGUUUAUUCUUUAUUUAUAUUUAUUUAUUUAUUUAUUUUCAGAUGGGAUCUUACUCUGUUGCCCAGGCUGGAGUGCAGUGGUGCGAUCUCGGCUCUCUGCAACCUCCGCCUCCCAGGUUCAAGUGAUUCUCCUGCCUCGGCCUCCUGAGUAGCUGGGAUUUCAGAGUCUCAAGCAGGCCAUGAAAGAUCACUGUUUUAGUCUGCGUGGUGCAGUGGAACAGAUAGACCUCGGUUUGAAUCUCAGCUCUACUGUUUACUAGACAUGAAAUGGGGAAAUCUAAAAUGAGAUGCCAGAAGCCUCAAAAAUGGAAAACCCCCUGUGCUUCACAUCUGAAAAUCUCUGCUGGGGGCAGCAACUUUGAGCCUGUGGGGAAGGAACUGUCCACGUGGAGUGGUCUGGUGAAUGCUUAAGGAGCUGCAGAAGGGAAGGUAGUGAGGAGACAGUUAAAUAUUGAGCACGUUUUGGUGCCUAGCAUUGUACUGGCCUUUCACAUGCUAUGUUUAAUCACGCAGGAUUGUAUGGAAUGGGAUUGUACAGAAUGAGGCCUGGGUUUGCUAAAUCCUGGGGGAGAUUGUCUAAGCUGUCACUUGAAGGGAAAACUGUAGCAUGUGGGACUUAAAAACAGCUUGGGAUGGAGUUUGAGGUAGGGCGAGAGGGAAAAAGAUCUUGGCAGAUACAUUCUGAACAAAUACUUGUGUCAUCCUCAACU